GAUGAACGCUGGCGGCGUGCCUAAUACAUGCAAGUCGAGCGAACAGACGAGGAGCUUGCUCCUCUGACGGUAGCGGCGGACGGGUGAGUAACACGUGGAUAACCUACCUAUCAGACUGAGAUAACCUCGUAAAACCGGAGCUAAUACCGGAUAAUAUAUUGAACCGCAGGGUUCAAUAGUGAAAGACGGUUUUGCUGUCACGUAUAGGUGGUUCCGGGCCGCAUUAGCUAGUUGGUAAGGUAACGGCUUACCAAGGCAACGAUGCGUAGCCGACCUGAAGGGGUGAUCGGCCACACGGGAAGUGAGACACGGUCCAGACUCCUACGGGAGGACGCAGUAGGGAAUCUUACGCAAUGGGCGAGAGCCUGACGGAGCAACGCCGCGUGAGUGAUGAAGGUCCUCGGAUCGUAAAACUCUGUUAUUAGGGAAGAACAAAUGUGUAAGUAACCAUGCCCGUCUUGACGGUACCUAAUCAGAAAGCCCCGGCUAACUACGUG
This 497-nucleotide ribosomal RNA is filed under the name uncultured bacterium. Its description in RNAcentral is "partial 16S ribosomal RNA". It matches the Rfam family "Bacterial small subunit ribosomal RNA", at positions 28 to 507 of the family's 1533-position model. The record is from RNAcentral.